GUCUAAAAGGAUGAUCCCCCACACUGGUACUGAGACACGGACCAGACUCCUACGGGAGGCAGCAGUGAGGAAUAUUGGUCAAUGGGCGAGAGCCUGAACCAGCCAUCCCGCGUGCAGGAAGACGGCCCUAUGGGUUGUAAACUGCUUUUUUAUGGGAAGAAAAAGCUCUACGUGUAGGGCACUGACGGUACCAUAUGAAUAAGCAUCGGCUAACUCCGUGCCAGCAGCCGCGGUAAUACGGAGGAUGCGAGCGUUAUCCGGAUUUAUUAGGUUUAAAGGGUGUGUAGGCGGGUUAUUAAGUCAGUGGUGAAAUCUCAGAGCUUAACUCUGAAACUGCCAUUGAUACUGGUAAUCUUGAGUACAGUUGAAGUAGGCGGAAUGUGUAAUGUAGCGGUGAAAUGCUUAGAUAUUACACAGAACACCGAUUGCGAAGGCAGCUUACUAAGCUGUUACUGACGCUGAUGCACGAAAGCGUGGGGAGCGAACAGGAUUAGAUACCCUGGUAGUCCACGCUGUAAACGGUGAUUACUCGUUGUUGGCGAUAUAUUGUCAGCGACUGAGCGAAAGCAAUAAGUAAUCCACCUGGGGAGUACGGUCGCAAGACUG
This 606-nucleotide ribosomal RNA is filed under the name uncultured Bacteroidota bacterium. RNAcentral describes it as "bacterial SSU rRNA". It matches the Rfam family "Bacterial small subunit ribosomal RNA", at positions 290 to 896 of the family's 1533-position model. Lineage: Bacteria; Pseudomonadati; Bacteroidota. The record is from RNAcentral.